This is a long non-coding RNA of Ceratitis capitata (Mediterranean fruit fly), 200 nucleotides long. RefSeq lists it as uncharacterized. The transcript is spliced from 2 exons. NCBI's taxonomy places the organism in Eukaryota, Metazoa, Arthropoda, Insecta, Diptera, Tephritidae. The record is from RefSeq and is a predicted model, not a curated record.
UGUCAUACUAUAAUCCCUCUGGGACCAUUUCCUCACUUCAUUUAGCCGCUCGUGGCCAUACCUGUGACCAGUUCCUUUCCUAUUCUAUGACUACAAUGGUUGAUAGAUGGUCCCCUACGGCAAUUUCAACAAGUCGAUUAUGAUAUAAUAUUGUUAUGCUAGUUUUGUCAUCUCUCAGUGAAUUGCCCUUACGUUGAUCA